RNAcentral lists this ribosomal RNA (250 nucleotides) under uncultured bacterium. RNAcentral describes it as "partial 16S ribosomal RNA". It matches the Rfam family "Bacterial small subunit ribosomal RNA", at positions 524 to 776 of the family's 1533-position model. The record is from RNAcentral.
UACGUAGGGUGCGAGCGUUGUCCGGAAUUACUGGGCGUAAAGAGCUCGUAGGUGGUUUGUCGCGUUGUCCGUGAAACUCACAACUCAAUUGUGGCGUGCGGCGAUACGGCAGGACUGGAGUACUGCAGGGGAGACUGGAAUUCCUGGUGUAGCGGUGGAAUGCGCAGAUAUCGCUUGGAACGCCGAAGGUGAAAACAGGUGCUGGGGUUGUGCCGACGCUGAGACACGAAAGCCAGGGGAGGCAAACGGG